RNAcentral lists this ribosomal RNA (629 nucleotides) under uncultured Alphaproteobacteria bacterium. RNAcentral's name for it is "bacterial SSU rRNA". It matches the Rfam family "Bacterial small subunit ribosomal RNA", at positions 60 to 733 of the family's 1533-position model. Lineage: Bacteria; Pseudomonadati; Pseudomonadota; Alphaproteobacteria. The record is from RNAcentral.
AGUCGAGCGCUCGUAGCAAUACGGGAGCGGCAGACGGGAGAGUAACACGUGGGAACGUACCCUUCGGUUCGGAAUAACCCAGGGAAACUUGGGCUAAUACCGGAUACGUCCGUAAGGAGAAAGAUUUAUCGCCGAGGGAUCGGCCCGCGUCCGAUUAGCUAGUUGGUGGGGUAAUGGCCCACCAAGGCGACGAUCGGUAGCUGGUCUGAGAGGAUGAUCAGCCUCACUGGGACUGAGACACGGCCCAGACUCCUACGGGAGGCAGCAGUGGGGAAUAUUGGACAAUGGGCGCAAGCCUGAUCCAGCCAUGCCGCGUGGGUGAUGAAGGCCUUAGGGUUGUAAAGCCCUUUCGGCGGGGAAGAUAAUGACGGUACCCGCAGAAGAAGCCCCGGCUAACUUCGUGCCAGCAGCCGCGGUAAUACGAAGGGGGCUAGCGUUGCUCGGAAUCACUGGGCGUAAAGCGCACGUAGGCGGAUCGUUAAGUCAGGGGUGAAAUCCUGGAGCUCAACUCCAGAACUGCCUUUGAUACUGGCGAUCUCGAGUUCGGGAGAGGUGAGUGGAACUGCGAGUGUAGAGGUGAAAUUCGUAGAUAUUCGCAAGAACACCAGUGGCGAAGGCGGCUCACUGGC